Non-coding RNA from Acanthosepion pharaonis, 108 nucleotides. The record is from the annotation of a GenBank genome assembly. Lineage: Eukaryota; Metazoa; Mollusca; Cephalopoda; Sepiida; Sepiidae.
ACGGCCAUAAGUUGAAACACCGGUUCUCUUACGUUCACAAAAGUUAAGCAACAUUGUGUCUAUUCAGUAUCUAGAUGGGUGACUGCUUGGGAAUACAAGGUACUGUAA